GGAAGCACAUUCAAAGAUGUAGAUCCCCUCAGAGAAGUUUUCCAUUUCCCUGAAAUUAAAGAUCUUCAAAUGACUGCAAAUAACAUGAGGAUAUAUAGAAAAAUGCCCUUCCCCAAUUUCCAAAUCAUGAAAAUUUGGCUCAGCAGGUGUACACUUAAAGCGUUCUGGGAAUAUGAAUCCCUUCUGCACCCUGGAAUCACCAGUCCAGCCAUGCAUGGAGCUGGGGAAAGCAGGCCCUGAAUUGUCUAGAGAGACUUGGUGGAGGAGGCCACGGCCCGCCUUGUCCCUGCCGGGUCCCAGCCAGGAACAACUGGAUGUUGUAAAUGUUUCUCAUCUGGCCUUAAAAUCCAUGAAAGCUGGAAAAUCACAAGGCAUCUGUGCACAUACUGGUGGAUUUUAAUGAGAGUCCUGUGUUUGGAGCACCAGAAAUAAACCAGCUUCAGAAGCAAAGUGAGACUGGGCAUGAUUCAGAAAAGUUGGAAGAUCUAGAGAGGGAUCUUGCAAUCUGAAGUUUCUUGUUUAGUCACUGGAGGAUCUGAACGUCUAUGACACUCUUUCGAGCUGACACAGUGAAGAACAUGGAAGGAGAACUCACCCAGUCUGCCAGGGUCACAGAUGAUCAUACUCAAGAUCUUCCUGGGGAGUCAAUGGCAAAUUUCACUGGGCUAUUUUACAGAUGAAGAAGGAACAUAAAGAAGGUUCUGGGACCCU
Molecule: long non-coding RNA, 711 nt
Filed under: Pan troglodytes (chimpanzee)
Lineage: Eukaryota; Metazoa; Chordata; Mammalia; Primates; Hominidae
Description: lincRNA
Source: RNAcentral